RNAcentral lists this ribosomal RNA (426 nucleotides) under uncultured bacterium. Its description in RNAcentral is "bacterial SSU rRNA". It matches the Rfam family "Bacterial small subunit ribosomal RNA", at positions 355 to 773 of the family's 1533-position model. The record is from RNAcentral.
UGGGGAAUAUUGGACAAUGGGCGCAAGCCUGAUCCAGCCAUGCCGCGUGAGUGAAGAAGGCCUUCGGGUUGUAAAGCUCUUUUGUUGGGAAAGAAAAGCUUUCGGUUAAUAACCGGGAGUUCUGACGGUACCCAAAGAAUAAGCACCGGCUAACUUCGUGCCAGCAGCCGCGGUAAUACGAAGGGUGCAAGCGUUACUCGGAAUUACUGGGCGUAAAGCGUGCGUAGGUGGUGGUUUAAGUCUGAUGUGAAAGCCCUGGGCUCAACCUGGGAAUGGCAUUGGAAACUGGAUCACUGGAGUGCGGUAGAGGAUGGCGGAAUUCCCGGUGUAGCAGUGAAAUGCGUAGAGAUCGGGAGGAACAUCCGUGGCGAAGGCGGCCACCUGGACCAGCACUGACACUGAGGCACGAAAGCGUGGGGAGCAAAC